Molecule: long non-coding RNA, 3068 nt
Filed under: Sus scrofa (pig)
Lineage: Eukaryota; Metazoa; Chordata; Mammalia; Artiodactyla; Suidae
Description: lncRNA (ENSSSCG00065063406.1)
Source: RNAcentral
CUCUGCCUGGGUUUUUUGUUUUUGCUUUUUAGGGCCACACCUGCAGCAUAUGGAGGUUCCCAGGCUAAGGGUUGAAUCAGAGCUGCAGGUGCCGGCCUACAGCACAGCCACAGCCACGCCACAGUCACACCAUAGCAAUGCUAGAUACAGCUGCUCUGCGACCUACACCACAGCUCAGGGCAACGCUGGAUCCUUCAUCCACUGAGUGAGGCCAAGGAUCGAACCCGCAUCCUCACGAAGACUCGUCAGGUUCGUUACCCACUGAGCCACAGUGGGAACUCCCACUGCCUGGAUUUGAAUCUAGCUCUGCCCCCUCCCUGUGGAGUGCCUUUGGGCCAGUGCUUCUCAGUAUGCACCUCUGUCAAGUGGAGGUGACCCACAACUCCUUAGUUCCCAGGGUCAGAGGCCACUUCGUGCCCAGGAGCAAUGACCCAGGCCCCACUGUUCUCCUGCCCCAGAACCAUGAAUGUCCCUCUGUGUUCCUGAUGAGAACAAUGAUUUGCUAAAUAUCCCUUUCCGGGUUUCAUUAUCUCACAAUCCUUGGCCUGGGUUCAACCUUCCGUCCUGGGAAUAAGCUUGGCUCAGAUCUAUCUGUGCUGCGUGUUCACCCGCCCGGCCCCCCAGCACCUCUGCUCAGCGGGGGCCCACUCCUGAGGGUGGGGUCCCAAGGGGAUGUUUUUAAUCAGAUCCCAGAUAAGAUCUGACACCUCCGCCUAAGCCCCAGCCAGGGGUGAGGAGCCAGUGUGUCUGGGCCAACUUCUCCCGGGCACGCGGACAUGCUUGCACACAUGCACGCACACACACAGACGCACACACACCCCAGCUGACACGCAGCUAGAUCCGAGGCUUUUCUGCACUGCCUAAUGGGGCUAAGUGCUUGGCCAGGACACCCCGUUUCUUGGAGGACUCUGAGGCGAUGAAAGCUACCGCUGGCCCCUAAAAAAGGCACAUAUACAAAACCCACAUGACAGCUGGCAAGCCAUUUUUGGAAGGUUCACAGCCACCACCAUUCCAAAGCUCAUCAGGCAAGGCUGGCACGGCUCAGUUGGCAUCUGUCUAGCAUCCCUUCUUGCCAUCCCUCGGCCUGAACAGUGCUUCCAACGAAUUGUCUUCCCUCACUUGACAAAAGCCCAUUUUAUAGAUGACAAAACCGAGGAUGGAGGCUAUGAUCUAAAGUGUCUGGUCAGUGCUGGAGCUGAGAUUCAAAUGCGGGCAGUUGAAUUCCCAAGGCCAACCACCAGGUUAUUCUGUCCCCAAAGGGAUGAUAAGUGCUUCCACAGGCCCGCUUCUGGAUACUCCAUCCCGUUUCUACCCUGGAUUUCUAACCUGCAGCAAUCCUGGAACCUUCGGCCCCAAGCCGACUUCCCAAUCCAGAACCUUGAACGUGCCACACCGUCUCAGAGGUGCCACUCCUGAUGUGCUCCCAGCCAGAGUUCAAGGACUCUAAGAACCCUUCCCCAACCGUCUUAACUCCACGAUUCUGGAAAGCACACGGCCCAUCACUCGCGCUCCCAUUAGUUCUCGGAUGCUGCGCAGUCCUGUUCUGUAAAACCAGGGCACUAGAAGAGAUAAUGUGGUGAUAUUCUAGAUAACAUCCAAGGUUCUAGAACAACCGGGGUUCGUUCUCAGUUUCACCUGUAAGAGACACUGGACUGCUAACAUCCCACCUUUCAACCUUCCAUUGGGUCUCUCUCUACCCAACGAGCAGCCAUCCUCAAUUCUGACUCCAGGGUUCUAGAACACCAACGCUCUAACUUUGAGGAUGUGUCCAGCAUCAAGAAUGACAACAGCUUCUUCCUACUUUAUAGGCUGAGUUCUAGCAGACCAUCAGUGGAUCUCCACGUUUUUUUUUUUUUGCUUUUUAGGGCCACAUCUGUAGCACAUGAAAGUUCCCAGGCUAGGGGUCAAAUCGGAGCCACAGCUGCUGGCCCACACCACAGGCACAGCCACAGCCACACAGGAUCUGAGCUGCCUUUGUGACCUACACCACAGCUCACGGCAACACCAGAUCCCUGACCCACUGAGCGAGGCCAGGGAUCGAACCCCCAUCCUCAUGGAUACUAGUCAGAUUCGUUUCCGCUGCGCCACAAUAGGAACUCCACGUUUUUAACAUGCUUAUUCUGGAACACUGUGCCUCAAACAUGACUGUAGAGAAUCCUCCCAGGAUUGUAUUAAAAAGUGGGUUCUGGAGUUCCCGUCAUGGCGCAGCAGAAACGAAUCCGACUAGGAAUCAUGAGGUUUCGGGUUUGAUCCCUGGCCUCACUCAGUGGGUUAAGGAUCUGGUGUUGCCUUGGGCUGUGGUGUAGGUCGCAGACAUGGCUUGGAUCUGGCAUUGCUGUGACUGUGGUGUAAGUGGUGGCUACAGCUCCAAUUGGACCCCUAGCCUGGGAACCUCCAUAUGCCAUGGGUGCGGCCCUAAAAAGGACAAAAAAAAAAAAAAAAGUAGGUUCUGACUCAGCAGAGUUGAGAAGCAACUCGAGUUUGCAUCUCUACAAGUUCUUUGAGGACCUCAAGAAGGCGUGACAAUAUAGGAAUCCAUAUUCAGUUCUGCAGGCCAGCCUCUAAAAUGGCAAUCCCCACAUGACCUUAUAGUUUCAGGGUUCGAGAACCAAGACCUGCCCUCAAGCCCACCUCAGGGAACCAAGAGAAAACUGGUCAACUCCCAACAUCCAUCACUGUCUGUGCUGGUCCAAAAAUGCAUCCAAAAAUUCCUAUACCUUUUCCUUCACAAAGCCAAGCUGGAUUUUCUUUUCCUUGAGUGUGUACUGGGCGUAAUGCUCUCCUCUGAUAAACAGAAGACUGGAGUGUGCUGGGUGAUGUCGGGGGCUACAGCAUAAAGAUGAGUGGCUUCCUUUUUGCUGUCCGUUCGAUCACUUGUGCUCCGCUGUCAUGUCUGGAGGACACUCAAGCUACCCUGUGACAUGGUGCACGUGGCAAGGAACAGCCAACAGCCAACAGGCACAUGAGGGAGCCACCUUAAAAGCAGAUCCUUCAGAGUUCCCCUAAGCUCAGCCGGUACAAGCCCUAUUAGAAUCCACGAGAGGAGUUCCCGUCGUGGCGCAGUGGUU